AGCUCAUCUCGGCAUUUAAGUUUCCCUCUCUUUCAGCUUUAAACCUUUUCUAAAUCUACAUGUAAACUCAUGCAUGGUGUGAAUGAGGAAUUAAAUCAAAAUAGCAAAGGAAGGAUAAGUGAAAAGCUCACCUGUGUCGGCUUCUUUCUUCGGUAACCUAGCACCUUUGUUCUCAUGCUUCUACUCGAUAGGGGGUAGCGGACCACUCUAUCCAUACUUGCCCCUAAAUUUCAUAGUCGUUUAAUCUUUACGUGCGUGGCAACGGAAGGACCAUAGGAUCAAGCCUCACUAACGGUAAUUUCAUACUUUUUUAUCCUAGUGAAAUCUGGACCGUUGGAUCUCUCUACUCCACAAAUCGGGAUUGUCGGUUCUCUUGGCCAUUCAAUCUUCCUGGCUUUUAGUCUGAACCGUUCAUUUUUGAAUUACCCCUUAAUCAUUCGUUCGACAUCUAAAAUCCUAGCAGUCUGAUAUGCACACCCUCCGGCUUGCGCAACUAACCACACGUGCAGAUUAGCUAGCGUGGUUGUCCAUGUGGUGGGGCGUUAUUGGUCAGUCUCAUCUGCUGAGGUGUAUUACCUUUCUAGAGUUAUGUUAUUCCCCCUUCUGCUUAAUUUUCUUUCAUCUGGGUUUCCUAGCUAAUUAUAGUUUUGCUCCUUUCUAAUAUAACUUUUUUUC
Molecule: long non-coding RNA, 675 nt
Filed under: Carica papaya (papaya)
Lineage: Eukaryota; Viridiplantae; Streptophyta; Magnoliopsida; Brassicales; Caricaceae
Description: long non-coding RNA (CPAP_LNC003866)
Source: RNAcentral